AACUGAGGCAGGCGCGAAGCGUCGAGUGCGCGCGUGGCCCUGCAGGCAGGCGGAGACCCUGGUGGCUCCCAUACACGUAACAGCACUCACUGCUCUUUGACGUUAGUGAAUAGACCGUAAGCUCCCUGGAGCAGGGACCUUAUCCCAGCGUCUACCGCGGCGCCCGUCACCUAGUAGGUCUCCGUCAUUACCUGCUGAGUAGGGCGCGGGCUGGUGGGGCUUACCGAGCACCCUCGCUGUCUGAGUCAUUAAGCAAACCCGGAGGCUUGUCGUGGGUGUGGGUCCCCUUCCAUCUGAGAACGAAUGGGAUGAGUUUCUGGAGAGACUUGGCCGGAGAAGGGCCGGGGCAGCUCGGGAAGUAGUCUGCCUCACAGAAGAAUUCAGGAAGGCCUCCUGGGAGAGUACCUUUGUGCCGAGCCUUGAUAGAUUCUGGCGAGAAGGAAUGAGGGAACAGGUUGAGGAGACUGUUGUGGGCAAAGCAUGGCGGUGUGAUUGCCUAAGAUCGGUGUGGGAAAGGGGGAUAACGGGUAGGGCAAGGGAUGCUGGGGCUGGGGGUUGGAAUUUACUUUCAGGCAUCUGUAGUCAGUAGGUAUGAUGUCAUCUAAGAGAAACAGACUUAAUGCUGUGAGCAUUUAGCAGGGAGGAGGUGGGCACGCCUUGUGGGAUCAGGCAAGGUUUCAUGGAGCUAAACCUUGACCAGGACAGGUAGAAGUUGAGGGUACAUAUGUGGCAAGAUGCUUUUUUGCUUUUAAUUUAGGUGUCAACUAUUUGGAUUUUUCCAUUCUCACCCAUUUCUAGCAGAUAAUCAGGUUUUGUACAUUCUUGGCUCAGAAAGUUGGACAGGACAGGAAGUCUUUUUUGGAAUACAAACCCACUGGUGGAAAAUUCAAAGGACUACUGGGAACAGGCAGGUAACUUCAGUGAAGUGGUCUAGGUGUGACAUCACUUGAUAUCCAUCCCCCACCAAAAAGGGGAAAAAGAAGACAUUGACUCUUUAUUCAGAGUCUGAAAUGCAACCCAUCUUCACUUCCAGGACCCACUGAUGAUCUCUUCUGGAGUUUUGGCCUGAAGCUAAAACUGGCAGCCCCUGGACUAAGUUCAGCAUAUAGACUAGAUCCGAUAUUUAGCCAUUAUGCACCCUGCACCAUAUUGAUGGUUAAAAUGUUGAAAUAUUUCGAGGGUAAAUAGUAUAGUAAUUACAAUAAAUAUUACAAUUAGUUAAUAGAAAUUUUAAUAUAAACUCAUUGGUUUGUGCUAAUAGUUGUAGGAUGUCAGUACCAUUGAU
This 1285-nucleotide long non-coding RNA is filed under the name Homo sapiens (human). RNAcentral describes it as "non-protein coding lnc-RUVBL1-1:8". Lineage: Eukaryota; Metazoa; Chordata; Mammalia; Primates; Hominidae. The record is from RNAcentral.